UCUCACAUUUAGUGAGAAACUCUAUGCGCUAGGGGUAUAGAAUUAUUGUAUGAAACUAAAGUCAUGGCAGAAUCCUUCUCUGGUCAUGGCUAGUAGAGUGUACUAGAAUACGGUUGAGUGCGACGAGCGGGUGGGUGGCGCAUGCUUUGCAGCGAGGCCAGUGAGGCGCGCGACGACGAAAAAUACUAUGGCAGCGCUGCGAUCGAAGUGGAUUGGGUCGCAUCAAGGUUAGGGUCCUAUCAAGGUCGCGCCGUUGGAAACGGCCGUGUCUGCUGUGCCCGGGGCACAGCAGACGAAAGGUGCCCGAAAUGUCUACGUUCACCCAUGACGUCACGUCCGCUAUAACCCAUGAUGUCACAUCCGCUCAUUUCCAUGGCGUCUGUCUUGCGGAGCCGGCUGCGCUGCGAAGCGGUUCGUAUUCCGUGCCCACUUAGAGCACUGAACAUCCCACGUCUUGGUUUGACUUCCUGGUACGGGAUACUUGCACUUAGCAUGGAGUGAUGAAGCAGAGCAGUGUACUUUUAUUAAAUGUGCAGAUUUUAGCAGUAUAACAGCCGUUCAUUAAAAAAACAUGUGUGCUGAAAAUAAAGUGUUCUUACCCACA
This is a non-coding RNA of Dermacentor andersoni, 604 nucleotides long. Lineage: Eukaryota; Metazoa; Arthropoda; Arachnida; Ixodida; Ixodidae. The record is from RefSeq and is a predicted model, not a curated record.